GGGGAGAGUGCUGGAUCUUGGGCUUUGUCCCCUGGCACCCUGGGCUCUGGGGCCUGCACUGAUGGAAUUGCGCUCCUGGGGCCGCACAGCCCCCU
Molecule: microRNA precursor, 95 nt
Filed under: Canis lupus familiaris (dog)
Lineage: Eukaryota; Metazoa; Chordata; Mammalia; Carnivora; Canidae
Also listed under: 1 other name
Description: mir-8799 microRNA precursor family
Rfam family: mir-8799 microRNA precursor family
Source: Rfam by way of RNAcentral